RNAcentral lists this small RNA (553 nucleotides) under Pseudo-nitzschia pungens. Its description in RNAcentral is "eukaryotic LSU rRNA". It matches the Rfam family "Eukaryotic large subunit ribosomal RNA", at positions 33 to 659 of the family's 3401-position model. The record is from RNAcentral. Lineage: Eukaryota; Bacillariophyta; Bacillariophyceae; Bacillariales; Bacillariaceae.
AUUAAGCAUAUACAUUAAGCGGGAAAGAACUAACUAGGAUUCCCUCAGUAACGGCGAGUGAAGCGGGACUAGCUCAGGAUGUGAAUCUGCGCUUUUAUGGCGCCGAAUUGUGGUCUGUAGACUUUGACAUUAUUUGCCGGGCCAAGUUCCUUGGAAAAGGACAGCUGAGAGGGUGACACUCCCGUCCGCCUGGUAAAGUGAGUCAUUUGUCAACGAGUCGAGUUGUUUGGGAUUGCAGCUCUAAUUUGGUGGUAAAUUCCAUCUAAAGCUAAAUAUUGGUGGGAGACCGAUAGCGUACAAGUACCGUGAGGGAAAGAUGCAAAGAACUUUGAAAAGAGAGUUAAAGAGUACCUGAAACUGCUGAAACGGAAGCGAAGGAAACCAGUGUUUGUUUGUUCAUAUUUCCCUGGCCACUUGUGGUCUGGGCGCUGUGGACUUGCGUGAGUUUGGGUUGGUUGAUCCCUUUGGAAGAGCGCAGUCAGAGUUGAUGUCUGUUGCUAGCACUGGGUUUGACUGAUGCAGACGAAAUGGUUUUCUUUACCCCGUCUUGAAC